GAUGAAGAACGCAGCGAAAUUCGAUAAGUAAUGUGAAUUGCAGAAUUCAGUGAAUCAUCGAAUCUUUGAACGCACCUUGCGCCCUUUGGCCAUUCCGAAGGGCAUGCCUGUUUGAGUAUCAUGAACACCUCAACUCUUCAUGGUUUUCCAUGAUGAGCUUGGACUUUGGGGGUCUUGCUGGCCUGUGGGUCGGCUCCUCUCAAAUGAAUCAGCUUGCCGGUUUUUGGUGGGCAUCACAGGUGUGAUAACUAUCUACGCUUGUGGUUUUCCACCAGGGUAACCUUCAGCAGUGGAGGUUCACUGGAGCUUACAAAUGUCUCUCCUCUGUGAGGACAGCCCUUUGAAUGUUUGAUCUCAAAUCAGGUAGGACUACCCGCUGAACUUAAGCAUAUCAAUAAGCGGAGGA
This 406-nucleotide unclassified non-coding RNA is filed under the name soil metagenome. RNAcentral describes it as "partial contains 5.8S ribosomal RNA, internal transcribed spacer 2, and large subunit ribosomal RNA". The stretch from base 1 to 121 matches the Rfam family "5.8S ribosomal RNA", at positions 35 to 154 of the family's 154-position model. The record is from RNAcentral.